UUGUGUUGCUUGGACAGUUUGAAUUUCUAUGUUUACAUCUCGCAUCAUCAACACUUCGAUAAGAGUUGUCCAUUAGUGUAUCACUGUAUCUUCUAUCGUCCUAGGGUUUAUACCUUACAUCAGUUCCUCAGACGAAAGACCAACUUGUGUAUCUAUUUAUGUUCUCUAUUAUUUUAUGUACGCUGAGUUUAUGUUAAACCUUCGAUGUCAAAGUAUAUCAUUGUAACGAACACGAUUUUUUCCCCAUGUUUUUAAUGUUAACGCGUGUCUGUUUGUGUUUUAUGAAAGUUUGAGGUAAUUGAUUUGCGACGCCGAAUUCAUUGACGAAGCAGCGCUGUUCUCAACUUUAGAUCUUAAUAUCAUAGGUAUACCCUCCCAAAAUGGAUGCCCAACAACGUCUAAGGGAAGAACUUCUUAAGAAAAUUGACAGCCUUAAAAAGAAGAAUAAAGAGAAAGACGAAGUAAUCCAGGCUGAAAAAAGAAAACUUGCAGAACUCGAAGAGGAACAAAAAGAAUUAAUUCAAGAUGUAAAAGAGAAGCGGAGAGUGUAUAAAAAAUACAAAAGAAUGCUGAAAUCGAUGAAAAAAUGAGUCAAUCAGCUCUCGAUAAGGACGCUGUCAUCGAACAAGAUUUCGUUCCUAUUCUGUAGCACUUUGAACGCUGCAGAGGCAGCAGCUGCGACCACAGCCAAUUUGCUGAAACGUGUACUUUUUCCCUUUUUUUAAUCUGUUUUGUAAUAUAUGUUUAAUUGUAAAUUUUAGAUUUUUUUUAUAUAAUAAGUUAUGUAAUUAUAGAUACUUGACUGCUCCUUAUUAAAAAUAAUUUUUUCAACUUCUA
Molecule: long non-coding RNA, 837 nt
Organism: Planococcus citri (citrus mealybug)
Lineage: Eukaryota; Metazoa; Arthropoda; Insecta; Hemiptera; Pseudococcidae
Exons: 3
Source: RefSeq, a predicted model, not a curated record